Long non-coding RNA from Xenopus laevis (African clawed frog), 2669 nucleotides. RefSeq lists it as uncharacterized. The record is from RefSeq and is a predicted model, not a curated record. The transcript is spliced from 2 exons. NCBI's taxonomy places the organism in Eukaryota, Metazoa, Chordata, Amphibia, Anura, Pipidae.
UCGAAUCAUUUGAAUCGAAGGUCAAAGUACCCCAAAAAAAAAACUUUGAAAUUCGAAGUUUUUUUUAUAUUCGAAUCCUUCACUCAAGCUUAGUAAAUGUGCCCCUUAGUGUUAUUAAAGGGGUUAGUGAGGGUUUCCCUGCAUCAGUCCCAUACAGCAGCAUUACUCAUUAAUACUUCCUUAUUGGCAGCCACGUUCUACACAGUAGAAGUAGCCACGCAACAAAUCCACUAUUUUAGGGUUUCGGCCGAAUCCUUUAUGAAAGUCUUUGCCAAAUAGUGAACCGAAUCCUCGUUUACAUAUGUAAAUUAGGGAAACGUGGGGGGGAAAAAAGAACCGUGUACAGUAAAAAAAAAAAAAAGAAUUCCGACUUCCUCGUCCAUCAUGAAAAGUCGCGUGAUUUUUUUUUUUUUGUAUCCAAUUUGGUUCUUUCAGGCACUUUGAUUCGGCCGAAUCCUUCUGAGAAAGACUGAAUCUUGGACAAAUCCUGGUAUAUAAGUGCUUUUAAUUAUAAGUAUAAGUGCUUUUAAUUUCUUUAAAUCACUGGACGCCCAUAAAUGGUGGCUGGAAACGGUUUAGCUGAAGCUGGGCGGGCUCACUUUUGUUAAAUCAUGAUGUCAUUGCAAGUGUAGUUAGCUGGGCGGGCUCACUUUUGUUAAAUCAUGAUGUCAUAUCAAGUGUAGUUAGCUGGGCGGGCUCACUUUUGUCAAAUCAUGAUGUCAUUGCAAGUGUAGUUAGCUGGGCGGGCUCACUUUUGUCAAAUCAUGAUGUCAUUGCAAGUGUAGUUAGCUGGGCGGGCUCACUUUUGUUAAAUCAUGAUGUCAUUGCAAGUGUAGUUAGCUGGGCGGGCUCACUUUUGUCAAAUCAUGAUGUCAUUGCAAGUGUAGUUAACUGGGCGGGCUCACUUUUGUCAAAUCAUGAUGUCAUUGCAACAGUGUAAGUUUGGCAAACUAUGACAUCACUGGUUUAAGUUGCAUUUACUGUUUGCAGUGGAGUCUUGUUGGGGGGCAAUGUCCAUUAUCUCCAGGUCUCCAGUGAAAAGGGCGGCCAUGUCCAGCUUGGAGAGAGUUUGCAGCAGUGCUAAAUGUUGCCUUGGACGUGCAGUUACUCAAAGAUGAUGUACAGAAACAGAAAUGUUUAGGGUCAGAAGUCGGCUGAUAAAUGAUGGAGUUGAUCACGGUGGAUAUAUCCGGCCCCUUGUAGACCUUCUAGAUCAGUUGUGGUCCAGACCCCUUUCCUACCCCGAGGCAAUAUCUUGGCUACAGAACCAUGGAAGGAGAAGUUCUUUUAGAUCACUAAGUGGCAGGUAUCAACUCUAGAGAAGCCCCUACUUACGGACUCUGGUUCCGAUUAUGUUCUAAUUGAGCUCCAUCGAUCAACUUCUUUAUUCAUGAGAAACGUCUACGAUAGAACAGGCCAGAAAGCAAAGAACUUCUUAAAGCACUUACUGCGCAUAAUUAGGAGCAUUUCUAUGAAGAAUCCUGCUCUAUUGUAGGGCCGGAGCUCCGUCCAUGUUCUUUCUCAGUUGGCCGCCGAGCUUGUUGUGAUUAAGCCGAUAGAAGAUAACGACAUCCCAGAAUUCCAGUCUCGCCAGUGAGUGAAUGUUUUGCAGCGCAGGUGUAAAGCUUGGACAGUGUUAUACACAUCUAUUCUGUAUUAUAUAUAAAUACUGUGUGAGGACUUGGACUUAUUGACCUAUAGUGGAUGAACUCCUCGGUGGCAAAGGAAAUGAUUGGGGAAACCUGUUUUUGUGCUUUAAUUUCCAUUUACAAAAACAUCAAACAGGAUGGACCUUCUCUGGUUAAUAGGGAUUCAGGUCUCGUGCAUCAAACAGGUAGAACCUUCUCUUGUUAUUGGGUGAAAUUAAUCCAAUUCAGAUAUCAUGCAUCAAACAGGUAGAACCUUCACUUGUUAAAGGAUGAAUAUUCAUCAGUUCUCGUACAUCAAACAGGUAGAACCGUCUCUUGUUAUUGGGUGAAAUUAUCAGAUUCAGAUCUCAUGCAUCAGAUAGAACCUUCACUUGUUAAAGGAUGAGUAUUCAUCAGUUCUCAUAGGGAUUCAGGCCUCAUGCAUCAAACAGGUAGAACCUUCUCUUGUUAUUGGGUGAAAUUAAUCCGAUUCAGAUCUCAUGCAUCAAACAGGUAGAACCUUCUCUUGUUAUUGGGUGAAAUUAAUCCGAUUCAGAUCUCAUGCAUCAAACAGGUAGAACCUUCUCUUGUUAUUGGUUGAAACAAGUAGACCCAUCUCACUCAUCAAAUAGACAGAAUUGUAUUUCGUUAAUGGUUGAUACCUAUCAGGUCUCGUACAUGAAACCGUAUACUUGUAGUGGAACUUGAGUUCUCUGGGGGCAUUUGGGUCAGUGUCAGACAUUUUAUUCCUCCUGAAUGAAUAACCGUAGCCUUAAGAUUAGUUAUUUGCUACAGUGUUUGUCAUUGGACAGGUUAGCGCCACUCGAUUAUUACAGAACCUGCAGAGCAUCACUAAACAGAUUAAAUAAAAAAAAUAAAAUUAAAAACAAAAAAAAAAAAACAAAUUUAUAUCAAACCACAAAUGUAUCACGGGCUUGUAUUACCAUGUUCUUAUAAAGACUGUCUGUGAAUUUAAGAAAUAAAUAGAAUUUUUACUCUAAAAUGGUGACAUUUUACUUGUAAUAAACUUUUUUUUUUUUC